Long non-coding RNA from Aethina tumida (small hive beetle), 346 nucleotides. RefSeq lists it as uncharacterized. The transcript has 3 exons. The record is from RefSeq and is a predicted model, not a curated record. NCBI's taxonomy places the organism in Eukaryota, Metazoa, Arthropoda, Insecta, Coleoptera, Nitidulidae.
UCAGAAUUGAUAUCAUAAUGCCUUAAAUUACCUCGGAGUCCUAUUGGUGGAUUCACGGAUGUUCAAAGGCCGUAUUCUCGGUAAUAACAGUCGGGUUUUUAUAGGAAUGGACGUUAAAAAACCACAGCAGUAUUGUUUAAGGUGGCAGCGAGACAAUACGUUUUAUAUUGAUUAAAAGAAAAACCGAGUCCAAACAGAUUCUGCGCGGACCGAAGGUUUCUUCCGAUUAGUGACGGACCGUUUUUACAAAAGAUCCUUUUCAACGGAUCAUAUGUUCGAAUUAAAAGUAUAACACCAGUCUUAAUGGCAAAAACGGAAGUACAUAAUUACGAAACAAUGACAUGAA